AUUAGUGUAUAUUUUGAGAAAAUAAAUUUAUUAAGUCUCACAAUUAUUUAUUUAAUUUAUUGUGAUUUAUUUUCCAUUAAUUUGUAACGGUUGAGUUGAUGGGAGAAUAACUCUAUUUUAUGGCUACACUAAGACUACCUACCAUAGUUUUCUAUGUUCUUUUUUAGUCGAUACCAAUAUAUCAUUGAAGAAUGAGUAGAUUCCUUGAAUAUAUAGAAAAUGAGAUACAAGCAUGGCUACAGAAUAUAUGGUCUAUUGGUUGCUGCCAAGUAUAGAGAUAUAAUUUAAUCUAUGUUUUGAAUUGGGUUGCUAAUUGCUAACAAGAGAAAAACCAUUGGAAGCCUUUACGUUUUUUGACUUGCCUCUGGUAUGUGACUCUUUAAUAUCUUCUUUCUUUCAACUUUGUUGAUUUGGUGUUUUAGCUAAACUGAUAAAUUUGUUUACUCUUGCUAAGACAAUUUAGUAGACUCUUUUCUAUAUAUAUUGGGUGUGUUGAUUAAUACAUAUAUAUUGAUCUAUGAAUAGCAUUUUGAGCACAUAUAGCUUGUUUAACUAUAUGUCAAAUUGUUAGUAUAACUUUUUAUGUGGAUAUAUGUUUGGUUCGGU
Molecule: long non-coding RNA, 606 nt
Filed under: Trifolium pratense (red clover)
Lineage: Eukaryota; Viridiplantae; Streptophyta; Magnoliopsida; Fabales; Fabaceae
Description: long non-coding RNA (TPRA_LNC000595)
Source: RNAcentral